CUGAGCUUGCUCCCGCUGACGACCGGCGCACGGGUGAGUAACGCGUAUGCAACCUGCCUCUAACUGGGGGAUAGCCCUAAGAAAUUGGGAUUAAUACCGCGUAGUAUUAUUGAAAGGCAUCUUUUAAUAAUUAAAGAUUUAUUGGUUAGAGAUGGGCAUGCGUGCCAUUAGGUAGUUGGUAAGGUAAUUGCUUACCAAGCCGGCGAUGGCUACGGGGUCUAAAAGGAUGAUCCCGCACACUGGUACUGAGACACGGACCAGACUCCUACGGGAGGCAGCAGUGAGGAAUAUUGGUCAAUGGGGGCAACCCUGAACCAGCCAUGCCGCGUGAAGGAUGACUGCCCUAUGGGUUGUAAACUUCUUUUCUGUGAGGAUAAUUGGCUUUAUGUAUAAAGCAGAUGAAGGUAUCACAGGAAUAAGCAUCGGCUAACUCCGUGCCAGCAGCCGCGGUAAUACGGAGGAUGCAAGCGUUAUCCGGAUUUAUUAGGUUUAAAGGGUGCGUAGGCGGGAAAUUAAGUCAGUGGUGAAAUCCUACAGCUUAACUGUAGAACUGCCAUUGAUACUGGUUUUCUUGAGUUCGGUUGAAGUAGGCGGAAUGUGUAAUGUAGCGGUGAAAUGCAUAGAUAUUACACAGAACACCGAUUGCGAAGGCAGCUUACUAAACCGUUACUGACGCUGAUGCACGAAAGCGUGGGGAGCGAACAGGAUUAGAUACCCUGGUAGUCCACGCCGUAAACGAUGUUCACUGGCUGUAUGCGAUAUAUUGUAUGCGGCUGAGCGAAAGCAUUAAGUGAACCACCUGGGGAGUACGUCGGCAACGAUGAAACUCAAAGGAAUUGACGGGGGCCCGCACAAGCGGAGGAACAUGUGGUUUAAUCCGAUGAUACGCGAGGAACCUUACCUGGGCUUAAAUGUAUGGUGCAUGGAGUGGAAACAUUCCUUUUCGUCAGAACUCUUUACAAGGUGCUGCAUGGCUGUCGUCAGCUCGUGCCGUGAGGUGUCGGGUUAAGUCCCAUAACGAGCGCAACCCCUAUUGUUAGUUACCAGCGGAUAAUGCCGGGGACUCUAAUGAGACUGCCACCGUAAGGUGUGAGGAAGGUGGGGAUGACGUCAAGUCAGCACGGCCCUUACGUCCAGGGCUACACACGUGUUACAAUGGCCGGUACAAAGGGCAGCUACAUAGUGAUAUGAUGCUAAUCUCGAAAGCCGGUCUCAGUUCGGAUCGAAGUCUGCAACCCGACUUCGUGAAGCUGGAUUCGUUAGUAAUCGCGCAUCAGCCACGGCGCGGUGAAUACGUUCCCGGGCCUUGUACACACCGCCCGUCAAGCCAUGGAAGCCGGGGGUACCUGAAGUUCGUAACCGAAAGGAUCGACCUAGGGUAAAACUGGUAACUGGGGCUAAGUCGUAACAAGGUA
Molecule: ribosomal RNA, 1415 nt
Filed under: metagenome
Description: bacterial SSU rRNA
Rfam family: Bacterial small subunit ribosomal RNA
Source: RNAcentral